RNAcentral lists this ribosomal RNA (262 nucleotides) under uncultured archaeon. RNAcentral describes it as "partial 16S ribosomal RNA". It matches the Rfam family "Archaeal small subunit ribosomal RNA", at positions 748 to 1009 of the family's 1478-position model. The record is from RNAcentral.
UAGCCGUAAACGAUACUCGCUAGGUGUCGGCCACGGUGCGACCGUUGUCGGUGCCGUAGGGAAGCCGUGAAGCGAGCCACCUGGGAAGUACGGCCGCAAGGCUGAAACUUAAAGGAAUUGGCGGGGGAGCACAACAACGGGUGGAGCUUGCGGUUUAAUUGGAUUCAACGCCGGAAAUCUUACCGGGACCGACAGCAACAUGGAAGGCCAAGCUGAAGACUUUGCCGGAUUAGCUGAGAGGUGGUGCAUGGCGUAGUCGUGU